CACUCCUGCGGGAGGCAGCAGUGGGGAAUAUUGCACAAUGGGCGCAAGCCUGAUGCAGCCAUGCCGCGUGUAUGAAGAAGGCCUUCGGGUUGUAAAGUACUUUCAGCGGGGAGGAAGGCAAUACGGUUAAUAACCGUGUUGAUUGACGUUACCCGCAGAAGAAGCACCGGCUAACUCCGUGCCAGCAGCCGCGGUAAUACGGAGGGUGCAAGCGUUAAUCGGAAUUACUGGGCGUAAAGCGCACGCAGGCGGUCUGUCAAGUCGGAUGUGAAAUCCCCGGGCUCAACCUGGGAACUGCAUUCGAAACUGGCAGGCUUGAGUCUUGUAGAGGGGGGUAGAAUUCCAGGUGUAGCGGUGAAAUGCGUAGAGAUCUGGAGGAAUACCGGUGGCGAAGGCGGCCCCCUGGACAAAGACUGACGCUCAGGUGCGAAAGCGUGGGGAGCAAACAGGAUUAGAAACCCCAGUAGUCCCACG
RNAcentral lists this ribosomal RNA (474 nucleotides) under uncultured organism. RNAcentral describes it as "partial 16S ribosomal RNA". It matches the Rfam family "Bacterial small subunit ribosomal RNA", at positions 334 to 799 of the family's 1533-position model. The record is from RNAcentral.